This 254-nucleotide ribosomal RNA is filed under the name uncultured bacterium. Its description in RNAcentral is "partial 16S ribosomal RNA". It matches the Rfam family "Bacterial small subunit ribosomal RNA", at positions 524 to 776 of the family's 1533-position model. The record is from RNAcentral.
CACGUAGGGCGCAAGCGUUGUCCGGAAUUAUUGGGCGUAAAGAGCUCGUAGGCGGCUUGUCGCGUCGACUGUGAAAACCCGUGGCUCAACCAUGUGGUCUGCAGUCGAUACGGGCAGGCUAGAAUUCGGUAGGGGAGACUGGAAUUCCUGGUGUAGCGGUGAAAUGCGCAGAUAUCAGGAGGAACACCGGUGGCGAAGGCGGGUCUCUGGGCCGAUAUUGACGCUGAGGAGCGAAAGCGUGGGGAGCGAACAGG